CUUGAGAAAGGAAUCCUCAUACUUGUAUGUGUGAGCAAGGAAGUCUUAUGUGUUUGAGUAAGGAAGUCUCAUACUUGUGUGUGUGAGAGAGAGAGAGCAAAAGAAGUCUAUUGCUUGUGUGCUUGACCAAAUUGUAAUCUUGUGGGAUUAUAGUGAAAAUCUCUUUGUAAAUACAAGGGGACUGAAUUACUCUCGAUUUGUGAAAGAAAUCUGAAUAACCGUGUGCGUUAUUCUUCUUUCUUACAUUUUA
This 250-nucleotide long non-coding RNA is filed under the name Lathyrus oleraceus (garden pea). RNAcentral describes it as "Pisum sativum (pea) long non-coding RNA (PSAT_LNC010906)". Lineage: Eukaryota; Viridiplantae; Streptophyta; Magnoliopsida; Fabales; Fabaceae. The record is from RNAcentral.